GAUGAACGCUAGCGGCAGGCUUAACACAUGCAAGUCGAGGGGCAGCAUGACGGAACUUUCGGGUUUUGUUGAUGGCGACCGGCGCAAGGGUGCGUAACGCGUGAGCAACUUGCCCGUUUCUGGGGAAUAACCGGUGGAAACGCCGACUAAUACCCCAUGGCAUUGAUUUCAGGCAUCUGUUAUCAAUUAAAGAAUUUCGGAAACGGAUAGGCUCGCGUGACAUUAGCUAGAUGGCGGGGUAACGGCCCACCAUGGCGACGAUGUCUAGGGGUUCUGAGAGGAAGGUCCCCCCACACUGGAACUGAGACACGGUCCAGACUCCUACGGGAGGCAGCAGUGAGGAAUAUUGGUCAAUGGUCGGAAGACUGAACCAGCCAAGUAGCGUGAAGGAUGAAGGUUCUAUGGAUUGUAAACUUCUUUUAUACGGGAAUAAAACCACUACAUGUAGGUGCUUGUAUGUACCGUAUGAAUAAGCAUCGGCUAACUCGUGCCAGCAGCCGACGG
Molecule: ribosomal RNA, 504 nt
Filed under: uncultured bacterium
Lineage: Bacteria
Description: bacterial SSU rRNA
Rfam family: Bacterial small subunit ribosomal RNA
Source: RNAcentral